This 253-nucleotide ribosomal RNA is filed under the name uncultured bacterium. Its description in RNAcentral is "partial 16S ribosomal RNA". It matches the Rfam family "Bacterial small subunit ribosomal RNA", at positions 524 to 776 of the family's 1533-position model. The record is from RNAcentral.
UACGAAGGGGGCUAGCGUUGCUCGGAAUCACUGGGCGUAAAGCGCACGUAGGCGGCUUCUUAAGUCAGGGGUGAAAUCCUGGAGCUCAACUCCAGAACUGCCUUUGAUACUGAGGAGCUUGAGUCCGGGAGAGGUGAGUGGAACUGCGAGUGUAGAGGUGAAAUUCGUAGAUAUUCGCAAGAACACCAGUGGCGAAGGCGGCUCACUGGCCCGGAACUGACGCUGAGGUGCGAAAGCGUGGGGAGCGAACAGG